ACAAAGUUCAAUUAAAGUUCCACACGGACUCAUUUAACUACGCACACAGCUAUCAGCGCAUUGCUGGAGCCACGUGAAGAUCUCCGAAAGUUAAAGGAAAGCUGAAGCCAAAUGAGUAAUUAGCCCCUCGUGGAUGUCAGCCCACGAGUUCUCACGGGUUGUGAAGACCAAUAAACCCUGUUUUAAACACCUCGUGCUCAUGCUAAUUCCUCGAGGGUGCUACAGUGAGAACUCUUCUGCUCCGCAUGGGUAGACGAGACGGUGCCAGCGCCGAGAGGGACAACAGCGCCACCCUGCGACGGCCAAAUGCACAACACCGAACUUCAGGUUCCCAAAGAUGAAUGUUGCAUCAAGGACUCCGAUUAAUAUUAGUUAAUAUGAAAGUAUAACCGUCGUGAAGAGACUGCAAUAAGAAACGGGAUAUUUUUCGUUUCUGUUUAAUCGAAGGGACUGAGAUAAUUUUUUUUUCUUUUCCUGUUCAAGUUUAAGUGAUUUGUUCAAUAGUGAAAUUUAUCUAAGUAACCUGUUUAUUGUUCAUAUUUAGCGAUUCAUAGUUAACAGGAAUUAGAUGUAAUAUUUGCCUAUUCAAGACAAGUUAUUGUUGCUUACUGCACACAGUGGUUUAAGUUCAAUAUUUUAUGUUGCAUUAGAAAAUUAAGACAUUUUGCAGUACUGUUGAGGCCUGUUCACACCG
Long non-coding RNA from Oryzias latipes (Japanese medaka), 694 nucleotides. RefSeq lists it as uncharacterized. The record is from RefSeq and is a predicted model, not a curated record. NCBI's taxonomy places the organism in Eukaryota, Metazoa, Chordata, Actinopteri, Beloniformes, Adrianichthyidae.